GAGCCCGUAGCUCAGCUGGUAGAGCACGUGACUUUUAAUCAUGGGGUCUCGGGUUCGAAUCCCGACGGGCUCACCA
RNAcentral lists this transfer RNA (76 nucleotides) under Ancylobacter novellus. Its description in RNAcentral is "Starkeya novella tRNA-Lys". It matches the Rfam family "tRNA". Rfam says of the family: Transfer RNA (tRNA) molecules are approximately 80 nucleotides in length. Lineage: Bacteria; Pseudomonadati; Pseudomonadota; Alphaproteobacteria; Hyphomicrobiales; Xanthobacteraceae. The record is from RNAcentral. RNAcentral also lists the same sequence under 6 other names.